This 77-nucleotide transfer RNA is filed under the name Paenibacillus sp. PCH8. Its description in RNAcentral is "tRNA-Asn". It matches the Rfam family "tRNA". From Rfam's summary of the family: Transfer RNA (tRNA) molecules are approximately 80 nucleotides in length. The record is from RNAcentral. Lineage: Bacteria; Bacillati; Bacillota; Bacilli; Caryophanales; Paenibacillaceae.
UCCCUGAUAGCUCAGUUGGUAAGAGCACUCGACUGUUAAUCGAGUUGUCACAGGUUCGAGCCCUGUUCGGGGAGCCA